This 315-nucleotide ribosomal RNA is filed under the name Pantoea agglomerans. RNAcentral's name for it is "bacterial SSU rRNA". It matches the Rfam family "Bacterial small subunit ribosomal RNA", at positions 84 to 402 of the family's 1533-position model. The record is from RNAcentral. Lineage: Bacteria; Pseudomonadati; Pseudomonadota; Gammaproteobacteria; Enterobacterales; Erwiniaceae.
UUGGGUGACGAGUGGCGGACGGGUGAGUAAUGUCUGGGGAUCUGCCCGAUAGAGGGGGAUAACCACUGGAAACGGUGGCUAAUACCGCAUAACGUCGCAAGACCAAAGAGGGGGACCUUCGGGCCUCUCACUAUCGGAUGAACCCAGAUGGGAUUAGCUAGUAGGCGGGGUAAUGGCCCACCUAGGCGACGAUCCCUAGCUGGUCUGAGAGGAUGACCAGCCACACUGGAACUGAGACACGGUCCAGACUCCUACGGGAGGCAGCAGUGGGGAAUAUUGCACAAUGGGCGCAAGCCUGAUGCAGCCAUGCCGCGU